This 662-nucleotide ribosomal RNA is filed under the name Photobacterium sp. 11.5.052CC2. Its description in RNAcentral is "bacterial SSU rRNA". It matches the Rfam family "Bacterial small subunit ribosomal RNA", at positions 61 to 702 of the family's 1533-position model. Lineage: Bacteria; Pseudomonadati; Pseudomonadota; Gammaproteobacteria; Vibrionales; Vibrionaceae. The record is from RNAcentral.
GUCGAGCGGCAGCGACAUACACAAUCCUUCGGGUGCGUAUAUGGGCGGCGAGCGGCGGACGGGUGAGUAAUGCCUGGGAAUAUGCCCUGAUGUGGGGGAUAACCAUUGGAAACGAUGGCUAAUACCGCAUAAUCUCUUCGGAGCAAAGAGGGGGACCUUCGGGCCUCUCGCGUCAGGAUUAGCCCAGGUGAGAUUAGCUAGUUGGUGAGGUAAGAGCUCACCAAGGCGACGAUCUCUAGCUGGUCUGAGAGGAUGAUCAGCCACACUGGAACUGAGACACGGUCCAGACUCCUACGGGAGGCAGCAGUGGGGAAUAUUGCACAAUGGGGGAAACCCUGAUGCAGCCAUGCCGCGUGUAUGAAGAAGGCCUUCGGGUUGUAAAGUACUUUCAGUUGUGAGGAAGGCGUUGUCGUUAAUAGCGGCAAUGUUUGACGUUAGCAACAGAAGAAGCACCGGCUAACUCCGUGCCAGCAGCCGCGGUAAUACGGAGGGUGCGAGCGUUAAUCGGAAUUACUGGGCGUAAAGCGCAUGCAGGCGGCUUGUUAAGCCAGAUGUGAAAGCCCGGGGCUCAACCUCGGAAUAGCAUUUGGAACUGGCAGGCUAGAGUCUUGUAGAGGGGGGUAGAAUUUCAGGUGUAGCGGUGAAAUGCGUAGAGAUCUGAA